AAAACGGCCCUUUUAAGGGCCACCAUUUUGAUCAAGCAAGAGUUAU
Culex pipiens (northern house mosquito) is the source of this 46-nucleotide regulatory RNA element. It matches the Rfam family "Histone 3' UTR stem-loop". From Rfam's summary of the family: The mRNAs of metazoan histone genes lack a poly-A tail. 3' end processing occurs at a site between a highly conserved stem-loop (modelled by this family) and a purine rich region around 20 nts downstream (the histone downstream element, or HDE). Lineage: Eukaryota; Metazoa; Arthropoda; Insecta; Diptera; Culicidae. The record is from Rfam.